UACCGAGGUCUCAAGCGUUGUUCGGAUUCAUUGGGCGUAAAGGGUGCGUAGGCGGCGCGGUAAGUCGGGUGUGAAAUCUUGGAGCUUAACUCCGAAACUGCAUUCGAUACUGCCGUGCUUGAGGACUGGAGAGGAGACUGGAAUUUACGGUGUAGCGGUGAAAUGCGUGGAUAUCGUAAGGAAGACCAGUGGCGAAGGCGGGUCUCUGGACAGUUCCUGACGCUGAGGCACGAAGGCCAGGGGAGCAAACGGG
RNAcentral lists this ribosomal RNA (253 nucleotides) under uncultured bacterium. RNAcentral describes it as "partial 16S ribosomal RNA". It matches the Rfam family "Bacterial small subunit ribosomal RNA", at positions 524 to 776 of the family's 1533-position model. The record is from RNAcentral.